Homo sapiens (human) is the source of this 517-nucleotide long non-coding RNA. RefSeq lists it as uncharacterized. The record is from RefSeq and is a predicted model, not a curated record. The transcript has 3 exons. NCBI's taxonomy places the organism in Eukaryota, Metazoa, Chordata, Mammalia, Primates, Hominidae.
AAAAGGCUAGAACAAUUUAGGACAAUCGCAGUAAAUGAGGUCCAUCCUAGGCAAUCUGAGGCAGAUGGUUUUCUUACUUACAAACCAGGAGCUUGCACUCUCUUGCCUUUCUGCCUUGCACCAUGGGAGGACACAGCAAGAAGCUCUCACCGGAUGCUAGACCCUCAACCUUGGACUUCUCAGCCUCCAGAACCACGAGAAAUAAAUUUCUGUUUAUUGUAAAUUGCCCAGUCUCAAAUAUUAUGUGACAGCUGCACUAAACAGACUAAGAUGCUCCCUUAACAUAAACCACAGGGUUCCUAUGGAAAACAGGCAACAUGGAAUGUUUCAGGCAUUGUAAUCAUUGAAGGAAAGGAGAAACAAAAGGAGAGAUUGUGCUGAAGUGAACAGAGCACAGACUGUGACGGGAAUCUCACAAUCUUACCAACUUUGAGAUCAGGAAAUAAUACUCUUUCUCAUGAUGUGUAUGACGGACAUCUCUGUUAAUUAUUCUGAAGAUCUCUGGGCUCUGCUGAAA